Molecule: long non-coding RNA, 416 nt
Filed under: Elaeis guineensis (African oil palm)
Lineage: Eukaryota; Viridiplantae; Streptophyta; Magnoliopsida; Arecales; Arecaceae
Description: long non-coding RNA (EGUI_LNC024614)
Source: RNAcentral
CCCCUGAUGCAUUAUAUUUUUAGCUGUGUCUUUCUGUUCCUUUCUUUGUAUGUUCCUAAUUAUUGAUUAAGAUUUUUACAUAUUGAUGUAAAAUUAAGGAUAGAAAAUUUUAUUUGAAAAUAGAUAGAAAUUAUUUCUUUCUAUUUUCGGAUAAAGAUGGAGCAUUCGUAGAAAUCUUCAUGGAGAUGAAGACUGGACUACCAGAUGAUUGGAGAGUAGAGAUGCAUGUAGAUCGACCAUGAGAUGGUUCAGUCUGUGAUGCAUCUAAGAUUAGAUCCUUAAUCCCUCCAGUGGCUCGGAUGGAUUAUAUUAGAAAAGUCCAUAAUCAUCUGAUUUUUUUUUAUGCUCUUAUAUACUGGUAGUUAGAAUUUAAUAUAAAUUGUAUGUGAUGGAUUUAUAUGUUAUAGAUAUGUUUG